This 2285-nucleotide long non-coding RNA is filed under the name Nicotiana tabacum (common tobacco). RNAcentral describes it as "long non-coding RNA (NTAB_LNC019046)". The record is from RNAcentral. Lineage: Eukaryota; Viridiplantae; Streptophyta; Magnoliopsida; Solanales; Solanaceae.
CCAAAACCCGGUGUCACUAAGUACAUGAGCAUCUAAAUAGUAACAAAGUCUGACUGAUAAGAACACUAUGUGAAAAUAUAGAACAAUACAAUAACUGAAAGGAAAGAGAGUCAAGGUCUGCGGACGCCAAAUAACUACUUUGAUAGUCUCCAAUAGAUAAAUCCUCAAAUCUGGCAACCGCCGUAUCCGGAAGUACCUAGAUCUGCACACGAGGUGCAGAGUGUAAUAUGAGUACAACCAACUCAAUAAGUAACAAGACUAACCUUUGGGCUGAAAGUAGUGACGAGCUCAACAGGUACAAUUUAAUAUAGAAAUAAUAGUACAGAAAUGUAGGCAUGUUUUCCAGUUAAACUCAGUACAGGUAAAAUAGAUAAAUUCUGCAUGAUAUGAGUAAUAUGACAUUUCUAUAUCUACAUGCCAAAAUAUAUGAUGUAUGUGAUGUACCACAAUGGAAACUUCGUGUAUUCACACUCUCCGAAUACUCAAUCACUUAGUACUGUAUAUGUCCAAUCUAGCCCAGGGAACUCCAUCACAGAUAUAUAUAUAUAUAUAUAUAUAUAUAUAUAUACUAACNNNNNNNNNNNNNNNNNNNNNNNNNNNNNNNNNNNNNNNNNNNNNNNNNNNNNNNNNNNNNNNNNNNNNNNNNNNNNNNNNAAUAUCACUCAAAAUCUCCAGUCUCUCGGGCUCUCAAUGACAUGAAAAUCAACCCGACAUGAUGAUUUGAUGUAUCAAUGAAUGACAAAGAGACUAAGAUAUGAUAUGCAAAUGAUGGAUGUGACUGAGUACACAAUUACAAUUUAAACAAAUAAUUUCACAACAACACGACCCAUGUGGGUCCCAAAAAUAUCGGCACGUAGCCUGAACAUGAUCUUCAAUAUGAGUCUCAGCUCAAUUUCUCUAACACGUGGAGGAUAUGUGGAUAAUGACAUUUAUUUAAUUAUACAACUCCACGGAAUCAAUUAAAUAAUAAUUUCUACGAUGCACGCCCACACGCCCGUUACCUAGCGUGUGCGUCACCUCCAAAUAAUUGAUAUAACACAAAAUUCAGGGAUUCAUACCCUCAGGACCAAGUUUAGAAAUGUUACUUACCUCAAACCGUGUAAUUCUUUAUUCCAUUAUGCCCUUGCCUCGCGAAUCGGCUUUCGAACGCCUUGAAUCUAGUCACAAUUAAUUAGAUUCAGUCAAUAUAAAUUAUAGAAAUUUAAUUCCAUAUGAAAAUACUAAUUUUCCAAUAAAAUCCGAAAUUCCACUCAAACAUUGAUAGUGGGGCCCACAUCUCGUAACUCGACAAAAGUUACAAAAUAUGAACGCUCAUUUGACCACGAGUCCAACCAUACCAAUUUUACCAAAUUCUGAUAUCAACUCGACCCUCAAAUCGUCAAUUUAAACUUAAGGGUUUUCAAAAUUUUCCCAACUUAAAACACCAAUUAAAUGCUAAAAAUAGCAAUAGAUUCGGGUAAUUUGACCAAAAUUGAGUUAAGAACAAUUUGCCUCCAGUUUUCCUUCGCGAACGCGGGAACCCCAUCGCGAACGCGAAGAAGAAAAUCAGACAGUGCAUCAGAAAAAUUCCAGCAAAGUUCAAAGUCCAAAAUUCAAUCCGUUAACCAUCCGAAACUCACCCGAGGCCCCCGGGACGUCAACUAAAUGCACCAACAAGUCCUAAAACAUCAUACGAACUUAGUCGAACCUCUAAAUCACAUCAACCAACGCUAAAAAUAUGAAUCAUACCCCAAUUAAAGCUUAAUGUAACUAAAAAAUUCUAACUUCUAUAUUCGAUGCCGAAACCUAUCAAAUCAAGUCCGAUUGACCUCAAAUUUUACACACAAAUUAUAAAUGAAAUAACUGACCUAUUCCAAUUUCCAGAACCAUCUGGGUCGUUACACGUCAGAACUUACAAAAAUACUUCUCCAAGUAGAAAGCCUCAGAACUCGCACAACUCAGUUUCUGAGUUACAGUCAUAUUCGACUCAAACACAUGUGAAUGAAGAUCAUAUUGAGAAUAAUCAUAAAUAUAUGCAAAGUAAGCAGAUAACAAAAGUGAGUUAUUACUGAUAUCUUCUUGACUUGUUCCCCAAUCACAAUUUAAAGCUGGUGUAGAAUUCAUCACAAAUCUUUUGAGAGUUCCUUGAGAAUGAAAACGUUCUUGUGUUCUUUUUGUGUGGGGGGGACUAUUUGAUGAUUGGCUUGCGGACAUUCUGGAAUUCUCUUUAUUUUUAUUUAUACCCUGCACCUCUUAAAUUGAGAAAUUGAAAAGGCAAACCUCUUAAAUUGGCGUUUGAUAAAAUU